UAAGGAAUAUUGGUCAAUGGGCGGAAGCCUGAACCAGCCAUGCCGCGUGCAGGAUGACUGCCCUAUGGGUUGUAAACUGCUUUUGUCCAGGAAUAAACCUUUCUACGUGUAGGAAGCUGAAUGUACUGGAAGAAUAAGGAUCGGCUAACUCCGUGCCAGCAGCCGCGGUAAUACGGAGGAUCCGAGCGUUAUCCGGAUUUAUUGGGUUUAAAGGGUGCGUAGGCGGCCUAUUAAGCCAGGGGUGAAAUACGGUGGCUCAACCAUCGCAGUGCCUUUGAUACUGAUGGGCUUGAAUCCAUUUGAAGUGGGCGGAAUAAGACAAGUAGCGGUGAAAUGCAUAGAUAUGUCUUAGAACUCCGAUUGCGAAGGCAGCUCACUAAGCUGGUAUUGACGCUGAUGCACGAAAGCGUGGGGAUCGAACAGGAUUAGAUACCCUGGUAGUCCACGCCCUAAACGAUGAUAACUCGAUGUUGGCGAUAGACAGCCAGCGUCCAAGCGAAAGCGUUAAGUUAUCCACCUGGGGAGUACGCCCGCAAGGGUG
RNAcentral lists this ribosomal RNA (541 nucleotides) under uncultured bacterium. RNAcentral's name for it is "partial 16S ribosomal RNA". It matches the Rfam family "Bacterial small subunit ribosomal RNA", at positions 355 to 896 of the family's 1533-position model. The record is from RNAcentral.